GACGAACGCUGGCGGCGUGCUUAACACAUGCAAGUCGAACGGAAAGGCCCUGCUUGCAGGGUACUCGAGUGGCGAACGGGUGAGUAACACGUGGGUGAUCUGCCCUGCACUUCGGGAUAAGCCUGGGAAACUGGGUCUAAUACCGGAUAGGAGCCAUUUUUAGUGUGAUGGUUGGAAAGUUUUUUCGGUGUAGGAUGAGCUCGCGGCCUAUCAGCUUGUUGGUGGGGUAAUGGCCUACCAAGGCGGCGGCGGGUAGCCGGCCUGAGAGGGUGGACGGCCACAUUGGGACUGAGAUACGGCCCAGACUCCUACGGGAGGCAGCAGUGGGGAAUAUUGCUCCAUGGGCGCAAGCCUGAUGCAGCGACGCCGCGUGGGGGAUGACGGCCUUCGGGUUGUAAACUCCUUUCGCUAGGGACGAAGCUUUUUGUGACGGUACCUAGAUAAGAAGCACCGGCUAACUACGUG
Molecule: ribosomal RNA, 465 nt
Filed under: uncultured bacterium
Lineage: Bacteria
Description: partial 16S ribosomal RNA
Rfam family: Bacterial small subunit ribosomal RNA
Source: RNAcentral